CGGUGUUUAACUGGCGUGAUGUGGGACGUCCUACCGGUGGGCUUAGCCUCGCGAGGGGCGGCCCAACUAAUAUCCCGUCGCGGUGCUCUUUACUGAGUGUCGAGUCGGGCCGGUACGUUUACUUUGAACAAAUUAGAGUGCUUAAAGCAGGCUAUCCUCGCCUGAAUACUGCGUGCAUGGAAUAAUGGAAUAGGACCUCGGUUCUAUUUUGUUGGUUUUCGGAACCCCCGAGGUAAUGAUUAAUAGGGACAGAUGGGGGCAUUCGUAUUGCGACGUUAGAGGUGAAAUUCUUGGAUCGUCGCAAGACGGACAGAAGCGAAAGCAUUUGCCAAAAAAUGUUUUCAUUAAUCAAGAACGAAAGUUAGAGGUUCGAAGGCGAUCAGAUACCGCCCUAGUUCUAACCAUAAACGAUGCCAGCUAGCGAUCCGCGGAAGUUCCUCCGAUGACUCGGCGGGCAGCUUCCGGGAAACCAAAGCUUUUGGGUUCCGGGGGAAGUAUGGUUGCAAAGCUGAAACUUAAAGGAAUUGACGGAAGGGCACCACCAGGAGUGGAGCCUGCGGCUUAAUUUGACUCAACACGGGAAACCUCACCAGGCCCAGACACCGGAAGGAUUGACAGAUUGAUAGCUCUUUCUUGAUUCGGUGGGUGGUGGUGCAUGGCCGUUCUUAGUUGGUGGAGCGAUUUGUCUGGUUAAUUCCGAUAACGAACGAGACUCUAGCCUGCUAAAUAGGCGUACCUUAUGGUAUCGCGAAGGCCCCCGGCUUCGGCCGGUGGGUUUUUACUACCAACGUACAAACAAAUCUUCUUAGAGGGACAGGCGG
This 821-nucleotide ribosomal RNA is filed under the name uncultured eukaryote. RNAcentral's name for it is "SSU rRNA". It matches the Rfam family "Eukaryotic small subunit ribosomal RNA", at positions 629 to 1426 of the family's 1831-position model. The record is from RNAcentral.